GAUGAACGCUGGCGGCGUGCCUAAUACAUGCAAGUCGAGCGAACAGACGAGGAGCUUGCUCCUCUGACGUUAGCGGCGGACGGGUGAGUAACACGUGGAUAACCUACCUAUAAGACUGGGAUAACUUCGGGAAACCGGAGCUAAUACCGGAUAAUAUAUUGAACCGCAUGGUGCAAUAGUGAAAGACGGUUUUGCUGUCACUUAUAGAUGGAUCCGCGCUGGAUUGGCGAGUUGGUAAGGUAACGGCUUACCAAGGCUACGAUGCGUAGCCGAGGUGAGGGGGUGGUCGGCGACAUUGGAGCGUGGACGGGGUCAAGGGGACUGCGGGAGGCAGCAGUGGGGAAUGGUGGGCAGUGGUGGCAAGCAUGACACAGCGGGACGGCGUGAGUGAAGAAGGCUCUGGGGUCGUAAAGCCGUGUUGUGGGUAAAAAAAAGCAGUAGCCUGUGACGAAGAGGGCGUGACGGUAACGAAUAAAGAAGCACCGGCUAACUACGUG
Molecule: ribosomal RNA, 497 nt
Filed under: uncultured bacterium
Lineage: Bacteria
Description: partial 16S ribosomal RNA
Rfam family: Bacterial small subunit ribosomal RNA
Source: RNAcentral